Molecule: ribosomal RNA, 513 nt
Filed under: uncultured bacterium
Lineage: Bacteria
Description: bacterial SSU rRNA
Rfam family: Bacterial small subunit ribosomal RNA
Source: RNAcentral
AUUGAACGCUGGCGGCACGCUUAACACAUGCAAGUCGAACGGCAGCAUGGUGUGUACUUGCAUACACUGAUGGCGAGUGGCGAACGGGUGAGUAAUGCGCAGGAAUAUGCCUUAAAGAGGGGGAUAACAUGGGGAAACUCAUGCUAAUACCGCAUGUUCUCUGAGGAGCGAAGCGGGGGACCUGUGCGGGCCUGGCGCUUUAAGAAUAGCAUGCGUCCGAUUAGCUAGUUGGUAGGGUAAAGGCCUACCAAGGCGAUGAUCGGUAGCUGGUCUGAGAGGAUGGACAGCCACACUGGGACUGAGACACGGCCCAGACUCCUACGGGAGGCAGCAGUGGGGAAUAUUGGACAAUGGGGGCAACCCUGAUCCAGCGAUGCCGCGUGUGUGAAGAAGGCCUGAGGGUUGUAAAGCACUUUUAGUGAGGAGGAGGGGUAACAGGUUAAGAGCUAGUUAUUUGGACGUUACUCACAGAAAAAGCACCGGCUAACUCCGUGCCAGCCGCCGCCGUAAAAC